CCCAUUUCUAGCCUUUACAAGAUAAUAUGAUGAAUUUCAGGGUGAGUAUUAAUCCUCUUUCAAAACCAGUAACCAGCAGCAAAGAAUGUUGAAGUUAUAUCCUAUGAUUUAGAGGAGCCGGCACCAAUUGAUGUACUUCUUACAGCUACCCUCACCGCACCUACGCAACUAAGCUGCCUCAUCUCAGGGUUCAAUCCAUGCCUUUCCUGGCUCUGACACCCUUCUUCUAUUUGGACACCCAAAUAGUAUGCUAUCUGUAGCAUUACGAACAGGUGAUAUGUGAAGAAGGUUCCAAAAUGUACUCUUAUUCUUCCUGUAAUUUAAGAUACGUACUGUGCAUGCUUGUUCAGCUUGAAUGCUUUCUCUUAUCUUCUCAAGAACUGAGGAAUCUGUUUCAACUCCACUUAAAAAUCUACAAUUGCGCCCCAAGACUUCAUCCCUAGCAUAACCUGUCAAUUUCAAGAAGGCAUCACUUGCAUAAACUAUAGGCAUAUCUGGCAAGUGCGGAUCCGUCAAUGUUUGAUUCUACCAAGAGAUAUAUUUAAAGAUGAACUGAUAAGGGUUGCUCCAGGUGAGCUGCAUCUUUUUCCACACACCAAUUUGCCAGUUGACUCGCUAUAUUGAGUUAGUACAGACAAAAUAUUGUUAAUGGCAGAUGCUGCUCUUCGCUUCUCUGCCUCACUAGCUUCGCAUGGUUCCUCGGUAUUUAAUCCUCUACUAUCUGAAUCCAAUGCCGAAACCCGACACAUAUCCAUCGAGCAAACCUCUCUCCUACACGAACCAAACACAAUCUCCUUAAAUCCUGACCCUUCCUCACUCAAACUCAACCCGUUUAGCCGCUGCCUACUCAAAA
This 853-nucleotide unclassified non-coding RNA is filed under the name Hevea brasiliensis (rubber tree). The record is from RNAcentral. Lineage: Eukaryota; Viridiplantae; Streptophyta; Magnoliopsida; Malpighiales; Euphorbiaceae.